CAAUUCACUUCCAAUUUAUGGGAACGGAACAGAAGUAGGAAAGUUGGCUACGUCAUUGAAAUGUCAUCCUCUUACCCUGAACCUGGCUCAGUCAAUAUUGCUCAAAUGGAGAAGCUAACUAUUAUAUCAAAUUAUAGCAAUGUCCAAAUGCAUACCAAGGUCAUGGGUUACUAUUACAUUUUAGUUGCUGACCCAUUACCAAAAUCAAACUCCAUCUUUCAUUCCUCGAUGUGGCAGAUCUGGUGUAGGUUUUCAAGCUAGGAAUUGAAGCAAUGAUCUGAUGUGUUCCUCAACUUCGGUACCCAUGCGAAGCAGAUAUGAUAUGAUGUUGGUGUGUUUUGUGGACUACUUAAUUAAUUAAUGGUUCUAACAGAUACUAUAAUGUAAUAGGAUUAGUUGUAUUAAAAAAAAUUAAUUAAUGGUUCUCAAGAAUAAGUGAUCAUUUUGCAAUUUAGUUUGCAUUGCAUCACAUAUUUGGGAACUUUAGUCUGCAUUGUAAUUAGGCCGGUCUAUUAAAAAUAAAGGCCCCCUGUCUAAUAGUUAA
Long non-coding RNA from Ipomoea triloba (trilobed morning glory), 544 nucleotides. RefSeq lists it as uncharacterized. The record is from RefSeq and is a predicted model, not a curated record. NCBI's taxonomy places the organism in Eukaryota, Viridiplantae, Streptophyta, Magnoliopsida, Solanales, Convolvulaceae. The transcript is spliced from 2 exons.